GUAAAUGGCACACCAGCUCCAGCUCUCAUUGUGUUCCUCUUUCACCACCCAUCCCUGCAGGACGCAGGCACCAUUUACAGCCACAUGAGUGUUCCCACUUCCCAGAUACCUGCCGAGGUGCCGGGAUGGCUCCAGGUUGGGCAAAGUUUGGGUGCCCUGGCUCCAUUCCUCCCACGGAGGGUUGUGGGUACCUCACCACCCCUGCAUGCGUGUGGUCGGCUGCUCCCAUGAUGCCUGUGUGCGGAUCUGCCUUUGGAAUGCUAUCCUCCAUCCUGCGCCCAGUGUACAUGAGAAAGGACCAGGCAGCGUGACCAACAUGGAGCUGGAAGGGAGCCGAGCUGCCCUGGAAGAGGAGGAGGAGGAGGAUGGCACCAAAUACAAUCUGGAGACAACGGAGCCGCCGUCCUGUCCUGAGACUGCAGGCGCCCGGGCAAAGGACCAAUGCGAUUCCCUACUGGACUCCAUCGACGCUCAGCUCAGCCAGCUGCUGGGCCCUGGUGCAGGAGUCGCAGGUGGUUGCAUGAAUGGAGACACCUCCUUGGAAUGCUCCCCCAAGGCCUCCUGGACAGCAGAGAUGGAAGGAUGCUGUGCAAACCAGGACGGCACCUCCUGGGGCGAAGCCAGCUCCUCUCGGAAGGAGGAGUACGGCUGGAGGCUGAUGCAUCUCCUUGGCUCCAAGCAAGCCCCGGAGACCCUGGGGGACCGAAGUGACUCGAAUUCCAUCUGCACGGAGGACUUUGCUGCCAGGUUUCGGGAAGGCAUGGUCGACCCCCUGGUGAAUUCUGAUGAGGAAGGGGAUGUGCCAGCUGGGAGUUUCCCAGCCAGAGACCCUGCUGAAGAAGGGCACAUCACGGGAAUCAAAGCCAGGCCUGCUGGUCUCUGCCCCACCGUGGAGGCGUGUGGGCCUGCUGCAGAGGGCUUCAUGCUCAGUACAGUGAGGAAGCAGCACAUCCUGCAGCGGUUUGAGGAGGGGCUAGAAGAGAACUCAGCCCUGGCUUUGUCCAGCAGCAUGGAAGGACCCCAGUCCCUGAGCUCUAGGACCAGGAGAGAGAGCCUGGAGUCUCUGGGGGGCAGGAUAUCCAGGCUGAGCCGGAGCAACACCAUGGACACCCCAAGCAGCACAGACAUGGGAAAAGCCAGCGCCACAGGAGGCCGGGCUCCUGGACUAGCUCUGCCUGAGCGGGUGGAGACCUCAGAGGAAAGCAUUCCUUGGCUCCUGGAGGGCUCUUCCAGAUGGGGCCAGAACUCCUGGGAAAACUCCCUACCUUUCAGCAGCCCAUUGCUCGUGGAGGAGCUGUGUCCCAGCCAGCCAUUCAGAGAUCUGGGUGCUGGUGCCGGCACGAGAGCCUGGGCCAGAGAGUCCCACCCUGUGAGGACAGCUCCGAGUCCGUCCGGGAGGAGACAAACUGCAUAUGGACACAUCUGGUCCAACAGUCCCUCUCACUUCGCACCCACAGCAGCCUACGGCAGCCCUUCCCUGGCUUCCAAAGGGGAGAAGAGCCCCCAGCUAAUAGCAUCCCCCUGCCCCGACCAAAGGCUGCCCCCGGAGAAGCUGGGAGAUCAGAGCUCAGCUUUGCAAGGGUUUAGUGCCACAACACAGCUGGCUAGUAGCCCUGAAAGCGCCCAGACACCCCCAGCUGUGGUUAGUGAUGGCUGCGUGGUGAUGCAGGGUGGGGUUGGUUCAGGAGAUCCUGAGAGGGAGGCCCCAGAGCUGCUGCAACAGGGGUCAGUGAUUCCCCAGAGACUGUCUGGAAGGGGCAUCACUCAUGCUGCGGCUAGCGGAGGCAGGGAGGGAACCUGGCGGAGCUGGGAGCUGCAGGCUGGGCCAGCGGAGAGGGGAGUUCGUGGCCUGACACUGUGCGUCCCCGUCACCAGUUUCGACACCGUCACCAUCGACAGUGACCUGGACUCGGUGAGGACGGAGACAGUCCAGGUUCACCUCCGCAAGGCCGUCGGCUGCCGGAGAGCUCCAGGCUGCAGCACCAAGGGGCCCCGCUGCCCACGGAGAGACUCGUUGGGGUGCCUGGGCUCCAGCAGUGCAGUCACUGAGGAAGAGGAGGAGGCGGAGGAAGAGUUCCUGUGGUCUCGUGGCAGUGCCGACUGGAGGAGCAGCAGCCCUGUGAGGUGGAGCUCAAUGCCACGCAGGACAGAAUCCAGUUGGGAGGAUACCAGGAAGGAAGCCUGCACGGAGCACCAGGACCUGGGCACUGAAGAGGAGAGGCUGUUGCAGAGGAAAUCCCAGCUACACGAGGCUGACUUGUCCCUGAGUGACAUCCUGGGUCAGAAAAAGCGCGCGGUCCAGGACCUGGAGUCGCUGCAUGGAGCCUUGGAGAGAAGCCAGAAGGAGGCAGAGACGCUGGAGUCCUGCCUGAAGGAGACUCGAAGCAAAGCGGAUGAAGCCAGGGCAGACCUGCUGCUGCUGCAGUACAGACGGGACUCCUGCCUGCGGGAGCUGCCGGAGCUGGAGAAGGAGCUGAGUGUGCUGAGACAGCAGCACUCCACCAUGCACAGCACCCAGCUAGGGGCCUUCCAGGCCGAGGUCUCCUCACUAGCGGCCGAGCGGGAGGAGCUGAAGGCCCGUGUGCGUCACCUGGAGGGCAGCUUGUCCUUCCUGGAGCACCAGCUGAGCUGCUGCAAGGCAGAGUUGUUCUCUGAGCAGCGGGCAGCCAGAGCCAGCAUCGAGGAGCUGCAGGAGUGCCUGGAGGAAGCUCAGAACAAGCUGGAGGAGAGGACAGCAGAGGGGACAGAGCUCCAGGAGGAGACCACGCGACUGAGACUGCAGCUCAGGGAGCUGGAGAGGAAGCAGGCAGCAGCUCUGAGUGGGCAGAUCCGAGACCUCCGAGUGCAGGAGACGGAGCAGGAGCUGAGACUCUCUGCUCUGAAGAAGAUCCUGUCGGAGAAGGAGCUAGAGCUGGUGAGGCUGCGAGAGGUCAUCUGUGCCCUGACGGCCGAGAAGGAAGCUCAGCAACGCGCUAUGGAGAACCUGAGAGAAGAACAUGACAGGCAGCUGGGGAAGAUGCAGCAGGAGAAGUUUGCAGAGAGUUUGGAGCACGUGAAGGCCAGGGCCCUCCAGGAUCAAGCCGCCUCCUUCCAGAAGGAAGUGGAGAAUCUCAUCAGGGUGAUCAAGGACCGAGAUGAAGAGGUUCGGAGGCAGCGGGAGACCAUGCAGCAACAGAAGGAGUCUACACAGCAGCUGGUCAGAGAGCUGAAGCAGGAAGCCAAGGAGAUGGUUCAGAGUGCUCUGCUUCAGGAGCAAAGGAAGUGGGAGGCUGAGAAGAGGGAAGCCCUCCAGGUGCAGUGUAGGACACUGGAAGAGCAGAGCCAGAGAUCGCAUGCGGAGGCCCUGGACAAAGAGAGGAGGACGGUGUCAGUUUUGCAGAAUAAAACCCUGGAGUACCAGCAGAGAAUUCAGGAGCUGGAGCUCCACGGCCACUCGCUCCAGCAGGAGAAGCAGGAGGCGCUGGACGAGCUGCGGACGUUGCUGCAGGAGGAGAAGAUGGAGGCACUAAGGAGACUGCGCGAGGAGCUGGAGCAGGAGAGGGCUCAUGAGAGUGAUCGGCUGAGAGUGACGCUGCAGCAGCUGGAGGAGGAGCAGAGCCACUUGCGGGCUGCGCAGAACGAAAUGUCCUCCCGGGAGCGGGAGGCGCAGUCCCAAGCUGAGCAGGCCGAGCGCUCCCUGGCCAGGGAGAUCGGCUUGGCCUGCCAACACCUCCAGGACCUGCUUCCUGAGAGAGGCAGGGGGCUGAUGGCUCAUGGGAGCCCAGCUCCCCUCUCGGCCAGCCACGCACUUCAGCUCCUGCAUGCAGUGACCGAGGAGACCCAGCGCUACCUCGGAGCCUUGCAGCAGGAGCUGGAAGCUCAGAACUGCACCAUGCUUCACUUCCAGGAGGAGAAGGAGUGGGAGCUGAGGCAGCAGCGAGAGCAGCUUCACUUGGAGAGCAAGGAAGCCCUGGAGGCCCUGAAGGAGCAGCUCAUCCAAGAGCACCUCCAGGAGAUCGCCAGCCUGCAGCGCAGCCAGCUGAAGGAGGCUGGGGAGGGGGAGCAGCAGAUGCUGCACCAGCAGCUGCGGGAGAAGGACCACGAGCUGCGGGCCAUCCAGAGGAGCAUGGCCCACUGGAAAGACCAGACCACCUGCAAGCUGGCCCGCAAGUUUGAGGAGGAGCUGAAUGCGGCGCUGGAGACGCGCUUCUCCUGGGACAGACCCAGGGGCCUUCGCAGGAGUGUGGAGAGACUGGACGCAGAAAUUGGGCGGCUUUCCACGGACCGGAGCAAGCACACCCAUCUCUGCCCCACCGCCUCCUCCUCCUCCUCCGCCCCACUCGGGCAGCACGGCUUUGUGUCCUCAAAGCUCCUGCGCCAGCUGCAGGGCCGCGUGAGGGAGCUGCGGGCAGAGAAUGCCCUUUACCGGGGGCGCAGCCUGGAGGACCUCGCCGCCCUGCGGGCAGAGCCAGGCCAGAAGGGCAGAGAAAAGUUCCAUGGGGCGAGCUGUAGGAAGUAGCAUGUGUGCUGCUGGGGAACAGGAAGCUGAGCAGGUGGAAGAGUCGUCUCCUGUGGAUAGACAGUGCGUGGUGGAGGCCUGGCUAGAGCAGGGGUGGAGUCACGCUCGACUUGGAGGGUAUCCAGCGGCACAUUCCCUGCUCCCGGGAGUCAGGAAAGAAGCAGAUCACAUGAGCUUGAGAAGGACCCAGGACGCUCUCUGCUGAGCCACUUGUGUGGAAGCGUCCCCAUCACGAACUCUUGGCUGCUCUUCAUGCUCCUGGGCUCAGUUUCCUGCUUGGCGAAGCAAGGCCCUUGUUCCCUUCCAAUCAGACCCCUUGCAGUCGGUGGGGGAAGACGGGAGUGAUCGGUCAGGGAGGGGAUCUAGGGCUGGGGCCAGUCCAAAGAGCAAGUCCAGGCAAACACUGGAGCCCAAGUGAAAGAGUCUCCGGUCAAAUAUUCCAGAAGCACAUGCCUGCCUCUCACAAGAGGUCUGGGCACAGCUCUGGCUGGUUGGGCUGCAGCUGGCUCAGGAUUCUGCAGCUGGUUGCUGGCUGGCUGGGCCCCCCCACUCCACCUCCAAGUAGCAGCAGAGCCAUCUUUGCAACUCCACCUUGCGGUGCUUUGCCAGCUUGCAAAAUGCAACUGGGGCAGGUGUGUAUCAGAGUAGCCUAGAUGUCAGGUAUGAGGCCUGCAGCGGACCCAGUCUCUGGGCAGGCUAAUGAGUGCAGCUGGCCUACAGUAGGCUGCCUGAUUGGCUGCAGCCCCUGAUUGAUGGGCAGUGGCAGCAGGCCAGUCGUUAAGCCCAGCAGCAGUGGCGUUUGGGAGUUGGUCAACGCAUUUGCCCACGGCUGUGAUAGCUCCUGUACCUGCUUGUAUCCAGUCCUACUUGUGCCUUGCCUCAGUCCAGGUAAUCCAGCACUGACCCUCAGCUCUGAGAUCUAACGCCAGCUCUUCCACACGCUUCUAUUCUUGGCUACUGACUCCUGUUCCAACCACUAGGCAUGACUGCCCACCGCCCCAUCUCUGAGCCUGGGCAGAGGGUGAGUUCCAGGGGCAGUCAGCACUGUGAAAUGGUCCCGAUAAGCUUGCUCGCCCCACUGCAGCAGUCUUUGUAGAUAUGCUGCUACAGUCUAGCUUCAUUCCCUACACUGGCAUAUUGUGGUUAAAUGCCGAUGGGGCUGCUAAAGUGGAUGUUGAUCAGUUUUUUUGCCGCAGAGCUUCAAACAGUCUUUAAAAAGCCCAGUGUGUUCAUGUGAAAGGUAAGACUUUGGUCUCCUCAGGGGGAACCACAUUUUUGGUGCAUCCUGAAGACUAGCCGGCAGAGCACUCCCUAUGCCUCGCAAGCCAUGGGUAACCCACUAGUCCUAGCUCCGCCAUAUUGUGGCAUUAAAUACCGUACCAGCACAAUCAAGCCAUCUCUUAUUAUAUGCAGGGUGUUUCCAACUGCUGUCCAUUCCAAUGGACCAGUGUAUUGCAACCAUGACUGUAGAUACUUUGUACAUAAAUACAACAGGGCAUGCUCGGACUGCCUGGUUUUAUAUGUAUGGGGGAAAGGGAGGUUGGGGGAGGAGGGGUGGUAAUUUUGUUGGGGGAUAAGAGAAGCUUGUCAAGCAGGCCCUUCAGGGCAGUGUUUGGAGCCAGGCUAAAUCUGCAGUAGCAGGGUGACAGUGGGUCAAGAAACCAUAAAACAAGGAGACCCACAAAUACUGGAGCUGUGUGACACCUUUGGCCAGAAUAAAUGUUUUAUCCCCCACA
This is a long non-coding RNA of Gopherus agassizii (Agassiz's desert tortoise), 6234 nucleotides long. Lineage: Eukaryota; Metazoa; Chordata; Testudines; Testudinidae. The record is from Ensembl.